This 1372-nucleotide ribosomal RNA is filed under the name uncultured bacterium. RNAcentral's name for it is "bacterial SSU rRNA". It matches the Rfam family "Bacterial small subunit ribosomal RNA", at positions 28 to 1381 of the family's 1533-position model. The record is from RNAcentral.
GAUGAACGCUGGCGGCGUGCCUAAUACAUGCAAGUCGAGCGAACGGACGAGAAGCUUGCUUCUCUGAUGUUAGCGGCGGACGGGUGAGUAACACGUGGAUAACCUACCUAUAAGACUGGGAUAACUUCGGGAAACCGGAGCUAAUACCGGAUAAUAUUUUGAACCGCAUGGUUCAAAAGUGAAAGACGGUCUUGCUGUCACUUAUAGAUGGAUCCGCGCUGCAUUAGCUAGUUGGUAAGGUAACGGCUUACCAAGGCAACGAUGCAUAGCCGACCUGAGAGGGUGAUCGGCCACACUGGAACUGAGACACGGUCCAGACUCCUACGGGAGGCAGCAGUAGGGAAUCUUCCGCAAUGGGCGAAAGCCUGACGGAGCAACGCCGCGUGAGUGAUGAAGGUCUUCGGAUCGUAAAACUCUGUUAUUAGGGAAGAACAUAUGUGUAAGUAACUGUGCACAUCUUGACGGUACCUAAUCAGAAAGCCACGGCUAACUACGUGCCAGCAGCCGCGGUAGUACGUAGGUGGCAAGCGUUAUCCGGAACUAUUGGGCGUAAAGCGCGCGUAGGCGGUUUUUUAAGUCUGAUGUGAAAGCCCACGGCUCAACCGUGGAGGGUCAUUGGAAACUGGAAAACUUGAGUGCAGAAGAGGAAAGUGGAAUUCCAUGUGUAGCGGUGAAAUGCGCAGAGAUAUGGAGGAACACCAGUGGCGAAGGCGACUUUCUGGUCUGUAACUGACGCUGAUGUGCGAAAGCGUGGGGAUCAAACAGGAUUAGAUACCCUGGUAGUCCACGCCGUAAACGAUGAGUGCUAAGUGUUAGGGGGUUUCCGCCCCUUAGUGCUGCAGCUAACGCAUUAAGCACUCCGCCUGGGGAGUACGACCGCAAGGUUGAAACUCAAAGGAAUUGACGGGGACCCGCACAAGCGGUGGAGCAUGUGGUUUAAUUCGAAGCAACGCGAAGAACCUUACCAAAUCUUGACAUCCUUUGACAACUCUAGAGAUAGAGCCUUCCCCUUCGGGGGACAAAGUGACAGGUGGUGCAUGGUUGUCGUCAGCUCGUGUCGUGAGAUGUUGGGUUAAGUCCCGCAACGAGCGCAACCCUUAAGCUUAGUUGCCAUCAUUAAGUUGGGCACUCUAAGUUGACUGCCGGUGACAAACCGGAGGAAGGUGGGGAUGACGUCAAAUCAUCAUGCCCCUUAUGAUUUGGGCUACACACGUGCUACAAUGGACAAUACAAAGGGCAGCGAAACCGCGAGGUCAAGCAAAUCCCAUAAAGUUGUUCUCAGUUCGGAUUGUAGUCUGCAACUCGACUACAUGAAGCUGGAAUCGCUAGUAAUCGUAGAUCAGCAUGCUACGGUGAAUACGUUCCCGGGUCU